AGAUUGUCAUGGGACUUGAGGAAGCAUUUGGAAUCACUGUGGAAGAAGAGAAUGCACAGACUAUUGCAACAGUUCAAGAUGCUGCUGACUUGAUUGAGGAUCUCGUCGCCAAGAAAUGUUAAGAGAAGAGAAAGUUGAGUUGUAGUAGCUUGGUAGGAGGGAAGGAGGUGUCAUUUUGGUUAUAAGUUUGCUUUUUAUCUAUUUAGUCAUAUCAGUUAAUGGUUUAUAUCGAGUUUUCUAUUGCAGUCUUGUUCCAAUGAGCUUAAUAGGAUUUCUUUCAUCUGAGAGGAACUCUCAUUCAUGCUUGUUUGUUUCAUUUUCUGUAAGACUGAUCUUAUUUAAGGACAUCCUUU
Molecule: unclassified non-coding RNA, 353 nt
Filed under: Hevea brasiliensis (rubber tree)
Lineage: Eukaryota; Viridiplantae; Streptophyta; Magnoliopsida; Malpighiales; Euphorbiaceae
Source: RNAcentral